This 269-nucleotide ribosomal RNA is filed under the name uncultured fungus. Its description in RNAcentral is "partial small subunit ribosomal RNA". The stretch from base 137 to 269 matches the Rfam family "Eukaryotic small subunit ribosomal RNA", at positions 733 to 864 of the family's 1831-position model. Lineage: Eukaryota; Fungi. The record is from RNAcentral.
GAUCUGGUGCCCUUGGGUCGCGGCUUCCCUUCGGGGUUGUCGUGUGUUCCAUGGUUUUGCGCCGGUCAUCCUUUCCGGGAAGGCAUCUUUCCUCUCUUCCUCUUCCUUCGGGGGGAGGUGAGGGGGGUGAGGUGCAUCUAAACUUGCCGGAUCAUUUACUGUGAAAAAAUUAGAGUGUUUAAAGCAGGCUUUACAGCAUUUGAAUACAUUAGCAUGGAAUAAUAAGAUAGGACUCCGGUUCUAUUUUAUUGGUUUCUAGAGUUGGAGUA